UUUUUGUUCCCCAAAGUCGCUUUUUAAGCCCUCCUUUAACUAUCGCUAUAUUUCUGCCUUUUUUUUGUUUUACAUGGGGUUCAUUGUGUGCAGCCUCCCCUAGAGAACAAUGAGAUUGCUCCAGCUAAUGGUAAACGUCUAGACGCACAGGCCAAGAAGUUGGAAGAAAUAGAGCAUCACCUGAACAGAUAGACAUGAUCAAGGGGAAGCAAGUUGGAGGGUUAUUGAGUAUCAAGGUUUGAUCGAUGUCAAGCAAUUUUAGCAAGUGGCUAAUAGAGGGGGAUGUGCUGGAGUUGCAAACUCACAAGAUCAAGGGGCAAGCUCAGUAGAUAAAAGUUGCAAAUAAGCAGAGGGAGCAAUCUAGUAGCUAAAUGCAUUGGUCCCUUGGCAACUUGUGUUCUGUGCUAAGCAAAUUUUCUGUCCUAAGCAACAUGUGUUCUCGUGUUGCCUUAUCAAGUUUCUUUGGCUAGCUGUAACAUGCCCACUUAAUUUUCUUGGAUUUUCAAUUCUGUGUUUGUGUGUGUUGCCUAUAUCAAGUUAUUUUCUUGCCUAGCUUUGUGUUGCCUGAUCAAGUUAAUUUUUUGCCAA
Long non-coding RNA from Brachypodium distachyon (stiff brome), 588 nucleotides. RefSeq lists it as uncharacterized. Lineage: Eukaryota; Viridiplantae; Streptophyta; Magnoliopsida; Poales; Poaceae. The transcript is spliced from 2 exons. The record is from RefSeq and is a predicted model, not a curated record.